AGGAAUUCAAUUUCAUGUUUCAGGAAUCGAACCCCCACACUGCGGCUGCCAGCAAGGCGUGAGAUAACCUCACGCCUAUCCUUUGCACCACUGGGCUAUGUACCGGGGGGCGUUUUCUAUAAUUAUUGUAUUGCGCAGUGUUUGUCUUAAGCAAUUUUUUUUUUUUUUUUUUUUUUUUUUUUUGGCAUUCCAUGGACGGGCAUAUGACACACAUCUAAGAUGAGGUUCUCUGAUACAUGUUAUUUAUUGAUAACAUAGUGUUAGUUGAUGAGAAUGGAAGGUGGUUAAAACUAUGAGUUACAAUUUAGGAUUCUGGAAUCUGAAGGUUUGAGAACUAAGACACGGUGUCUGCAGUGUCAUUUUAGUAAUAGUAGAAACAGGAUAUUAAUGGGGUCACUCCAGAUGAUCACUUUUUCUAAGUGAGAGUUUUUAGGUAUUUAGAUGUGAUUAUUAACUAGAAAGGUGCAAAUGAAAGAGGAUGAAAUACGAAGAUUUGAUCCGGUCGGAUGAAGCGGAGAAAUGCUACAGGAAUUAUUUAUGAUAGAAGUGUUCCAAUUAGGUUUAAAGGUCAAUUCAACGAAAUAUUUGUUAGAAAUGAUAUGUUAUAUGUACUGAGUGUUGAUUGUUGUCGUUGCUAAAAAUUUUAAGCAAUGAAUUAGACAGAUUGGCAAAAAAAAAUUAUUCAUGUAAAUUAUUCAGUUUGUUAAUUUUUG
RNAcentral lists this long non-coding RNA (713 nucleotides) under Olea europaea subsp. europaea. Lineage: Eukaryota; Viridiplantae; Streptophyta; Magnoliopsida; Lamiales; Oleaceae. The record is from RNAcentral.